GACGAACGCUGGCGGCGUGCCUAAUACAUGCAAGUAGAACGCUGAAGAGAGGAGCUUGCUCUUCUUGGAUGAGUUGCGAACGGGUGAGUAACGCGUAGGUAACCUGCCUUGUAGCGGGGGAUAACUAUUGGAAACGAUAGCUAAUACCGCAUAACAAUGGAUGACCCAUGUCAUUUAUUUGAAAGGGGCAAAUGCUCCACUACAAGAUGGACCUGCGUUGUAUUAGCUAGUAGGUGAGGUAACGGCUCACCUAGGCGACGAUACAUAGCCGACCUGAGAGGGUGAUCGGCCACACUGGGACUGAGACACGGCCCAGACUCCUACGGGAGGCAGCAGUAGGGGAUCUUCGGCAAUGGGGGCAACCCUGACCGAGCAACGCCGCGUGAGUGAAGAAGGUUUUCGGAUCGUAAAGCUCUGUUGUAAGUCAAGAACGAGUGUGAGAGUGGAAAGUUCACACUGUGACGGUAGCUUACCAGAAAGGGACGGCUAACUACGUG
This 497-nucleotide ribosomal RNA is filed under the name uncultured bacterium. RNAcentral's name for it is "partial 16S ribosomal RNA". It matches the Rfam family "Bacterial small subunit ribosomal RNA", at positions 28 to 507 of the family's 1533-position model. The record is from RNAcentral.